UACGGGGGGGGCAAGCGUUGUUCGGAAUUACUGGGCGUAAAGGGCUCGUAGGCGGCCAACUAAGUCAGACGUGAAAUCCCUCGGCUUAACCGGGGAACUGCGUCCGAUACUGGAUGGCUAGAGUUCGGGAGAGGGAUGCGGAAUUCCAGGUGUAGCGGUGAAAUGCGUAGAUAUCUGGAGGAACACCGGUGGCGAAGGCGGCAUCCUGGACCGACACUGACGCUGAGGAGCGAAAGCCAGGGGAGCAAACGGG
RNAcentral lists this ribosomal RNA (253 nucleotides) under uncultured bacterium. Its description in RNAcentral is "partial 16S ribosomal RNA". It matches the Rfam family "Bacterial small subunit ribosomal RNA", at positions 524 to 776 of the family's 1533-position model. The record is from RNAcentral.